GACGAACGCUGGCGGCGUGAUUAACACAUGAAAGUCGAACGGUAAGGCCCUUCGGGGUACACGAGUGGCGAACGGGCGAGUAACACGCGGCUGUUCUAUCCUACACUUCGGGAUAAGUCUGGGAAACUGGGUCUAAUACCGGAUAGGACCCUGGCAUGCAUGUGCUGGGGUUGAAAGCUUUUGCGGUUGGGGAUGGGCCCGCGGCCUAUCAGGUUGUUGGUGGGUUGAUGGCGUACCUAGGCGACGACGGGUAGGCGGCCUGUAAGGGUUACCGGCCACACUGGAACUGAGAUACGACCCAGACUCCUACGGGGGGCAGCUAUGGGGAAUAUUGCGCAAUAGGCGCAAGCCUGAUGCAGCUACGCCGCGUGAGGGAUGACUGCCUUCGGGUUGUAAACCUCUUUCAGCACCGACGAAGCGCAAGUGACGGUAGGUGCAGAAGAAGGACCGGCCAACUACGUGCCAGCAGCCGCGGUAA
Molecule: ribosomal RNA, 478 nt
Filed under: uncultured bacterium
Lineage: Bacteria
Description: partial 16S ribosomal RNA
Rfam family: Bacterial small subunit ribosomal RNA
Source: RNAcentral